This 621-nucleotide ribosomal RNA is filed under the name uncultured archaeon. RNAcentral describes it as "bacterial SSU rRNA". It matches the Rfam family "Archaeal small subunit ribosomal RNA", at positions 147 to 774 of the family's 1478-position model. The record is from RNAcentral.
UAAUACCCCAUAGUUCGUUAUUACUGGAAUGUUUUUCGAACGAAAGAUCCGUCGCUUCAGGAUGAGUCUGCGGCCGAUUAGGUAGUUGUCGGGGUAAUUGCCCAACAAGCCUGUAAUCGGUACGGGUUGUGGGAGCAAGAGCCCGGAGAUGGAUUCUGAGACACGAAUCCAGGCCCUACGGGGCGCAGCUGGCGCGAAAACUUUACCAUGCGGGCAACCGUGAUAAGGAAACCCCGAGUGCCAGCACAGGCUGGCUGUCCGCCAGUUUAAACAACUGGCGAAGAAAGGGCCGGGCAAGACCGGUGCCAGCCGCCGCGGUAAUACCGGCGGCUCGAGUGGUGGCCGCUAUUACUGGGCUUAAAGGGUCCGUAGCUGGUUUGGUCAGUCCUCCGGGAAAUCUGAUAGCUUAACUGUUAGGCUUUCGGGGGAUACUGCCAGGCUUGGAACCGGGAGAGGUAAGAGGUACUACAGGGGUAGGAGUGAAAUCUUGUAAUCCCUGUGAGACCACCUGUGGCGAAGGCGUCUUACCAGAACGGGUUCGACGGUGAGGGACGAAAGCUGGGGGCACGAACCGGAUUAGAUACCCGGGUAGUCCCAGCCGUAACUAUGCUCGCUAGGUGU